GACAUGAAUAAGUGAUUGAGUUUGAUAUUGAUCCAUACUCAUGCACUUAUUCAGGAUGUAGUAUGACUGAGGGAUUGAAUUGUACGGUAACUUGCCACUGAAUGGUAUGUUUGGAUUUGUCCAAUACAUUCCUCAUCUUCCGGGUAGACAUGAUACGUUGCUAGACGUCAAUCAUGUCUUGUGGGUUGAUCGGAUCAAAGAGUUUGAUUAGAUCAAAGCAUCAGAAAGGUUCUGAUUGCUAAGUCAGGUUUAGCACUAAAUUGAACCUAAAUUGGAUUAGAGGUAUUCUAAUCAUGCUAGGUCAACU
This 307-nucleotide long non-coding RNA is filed under the name Phoenix dactylifera (date palm). RNAcentral describes it as "long non-coding RNA (PDAC_LNC001911)". Lineage: Eukaryota; Viridiplantae; Streptophyta; Magnoliopsida; Arecales; Arecaceae. The record is from RNAcentral.